AUCAAGUUUCAAUAACUGGCUAGUUAUGUUUCAUUCUACCUUAAAUCUGGAAAGCAAUAGAAAUUCCCUAAAAAUGCAACAGCAAGUUGUCUUUAUACAAUUCUUUGCAUUGUAAUUUUUUUCUUUUUUUCUUUUUUUUUUUUUUUGAUUCGUUUGUUUUGAGACAGGGUCUCACUCUGUAGCCCAGUCUGGAGUGCAGUGGCGCAAUCAUGGCUCACUGCAGCCUCAACCUCCAGGGCUCAGGUGAUCCUCCUACCUCAGCCUCCUGGGUAGCUGGGACUACAGGCACGUGCCACCAUGCUCAGCUAAUUUUUUGUAUUUUUUGUAGAGAUGGGGUUUCCCCAUGUUGCCCAGGCUGGUCUCAAACUCCUGGGCUCAAGUGAGCUGCCUGCCUUGGCUUCUCAAAGUGUUGAGAUCACAGGUGUGAGCCACUGCACACAGCCUAAUUUGUUUAUUUAAGCAGAAUUGAGCAAACGUCUCCAUUCAGCUCCCACGUGCUUUAUUGAAAAUUAUGUCAACUUGAGUAUAUUAAAAAGCUACAUAAAAUAACCAGGUGGCAAGAAGACAUCCUAAGUGGCCCCUACACUAUGCGGGCCCAGCCUAGGUCUCCUUUGCUCCUUUACCAAAUUCCCUUUGUCUUGCCACAGGCCCCAGGACCUCCAAGCAACUUCCUCUCCUUCAUCAGCAGUUGCCAGCAGUCAUCCUCUGGGCUCUGCCAGCAAGUUGGCAGCAGGUGUGGGGGGUGGAACACAAGUUUAGAAGUCACAAAAUCAGUAUGCUGGGCCCUACAUGAUGAGCUGUCACUGAGUGAUGCUGGCAUUGCAACAGCUUCUGUAAACAGGAUAACUUCCUGCUAUGAGUCAGCUAAACAUUCCUGAAUCCAACCAUUCUACCCCUGGCAAACUCCAGUAUCUGAUGCUCUAUCACAUGUGCAAACAAAGUCACUCACAUGGGUUUCAACAAGUACACUGCUUAGUGAAAUAUGGGUCUUUAAAAACAUACUGGAAUUUGAAAAAAUAAACCACACACUGAUGGUAAUGUCUUCCUCUGAAUGAAUGUGUGUAAAACUGUAACAGGCACAAAAACCAAAGCCAAAGAAUCAAAGACUUACAUCUGUCAAACCUAUUCCACAGAAGCCAUUUCAAUAUCAGGGCUAUUUCUUAGAUAGCUUUAAAAAUGUAUCUCACAAUUUAAAUUUGAAAACAAAGCAAAGCGCAAACACCAAGUAGAAGUUACACUACAAGGACCAUGCAGGUCAGCCAGGUGUAGAAGAUAAACGGUCAAAAUAUGCUAUGAAGAAGAAAACUAAGAAAGGUACA
Molecule: long non-coding RNA, 1319 nt
Filed under: Pan troglodytes (chimpanzee)
Lineage: Eukaryota; Metazoa; Chordata; Mammalia; Primates; Hominidae
Description: lncRNA (ENSPTRG00000054422.1)
Source: RNAcentral